This 467-nucleotide ribosomal RNA is filed under the name uncultured bacterium. Its description in RNAcentral is "partial 16S ribosomal RNA". It matches the Rfam family "Bacterial small subunit ribosomal RNA", at positions 28 to 507 of the family's 1533-position model. The record is from RNAcentral.
GAUGAACGCUGGCGGCGUGCUUAACACAUGCAAGUCGAACGGUGAAGCAGAGCUUGCUCUGUGGAUCAGUGGCGAACGGGUGAGUAACACGUGAGCAACCUGCCCCUGACUCUGGGAUAAGCGCUGGAAACGGCGUCUAAUACUGGAUAUGAGCUGCGACCGCAUGGUCAGCAGUUGGAAAGAUUUUUCGGUCUGGGAUGGGCUCACGGCCUAUCAGCUUGUUGGUGAGGUAAUGGCUCACCAAGGCGUCGACGGGUAGCCGGCCUGAGAGGGUGACCGGCCACACUGGGACUGAGACACGGCCCAGACUCCUACGGGAGGCAGCAGUGGGGAAUAUUGCACAAUGGGCGAAAGCCUGAUGCAGCAACGCCGCGUGGGGGAUGACGGCCUUCGGGUUGUAAACCUCUUUUAGCAGGGAAGAAGCGAAAGCGACGGUACCUGCAGAAAAAGCGCCGGCUAACUACGUG